This 299-nucleotide ribosomal RNA is filed under the name uncultured bacterium. RNAcentral describes it as "partial 16S ribosomal RNA". It matches the Rfam family "Bacterial small subunit ribosomal RNA", at positions 333 to 629 of the family's 1533-position model. The record is from RNAcentral.
UUACCCCUACGGGGCGCAGCAGUGAGGAAUAUUGGUCAAUGGCCGAGAGGCUGAACCAGCCAAGUCGCGUGAGGGAUGACGGCCCUACGGGUUGUAAACCUCUUUUGUCAGGGAGCAACGCCGGCUACGUGUAGCCGGACUGAGAGUACCUGAAGAAAAAGCAUCGGCUAACUCCGUGCCAGCAGCCGCGGUAAUACGGAGGAUGCGAGCGUUAUCCGGAUUUAUUGGGUUUAAAGGGUGCGUAGGCGGAGUGCCAAGUCAGCGGUAAAAUCGCGGGGCUCAACCUCGCUCCGCCGUUG